CUAGUAAUCGCAGAUCAGCAUGCUGUGGUGAAUACGUUCCCGGGCCUUGUACACACCGCCCGUCACACCAUGGGAGUCGGUAACACCCAAAGUUGGUAGUCUAACCGCAAGGAGGACGCCGCCUAAGGUGGGAUUGAUGACUGGGGGUGAAGUCGUAACAAGGUAUC
This 167-nucleotide ribosomal RNA is filed under the name uncultured bacterium. RNAcentral's name for it is "partial 16S ribosomal RNA". It matches the Rfam family "Bacterial small subunit ribosomal RNA", at positions 1335 to 1500 of the family's 1533-position model. The record is from RNAcentral.